AUUUUAUUUUAUUGUUAGAUUAUUUUUAGUUUUAAUAAAAAUUGAUAAAGUAACUUAUAUGAAUAUUAUUUUAUAACUAUAGUUUAUAGUACUGAAAAGGAAUUAAUUAAAAAUUUUUUUAGUAAUUUUAAAAAUUUGUACCUUGUGUAUCAGAGAAAUCUAAAUUAAUUUAGUAAUUAUUAAAUAUCUCGAAAUAAAAAUAGUUAAUUUAAAAUACAAGUUUUUGUGUCAUAAAAAUUUAAAAUUUUAAGUUAAAGAUGAAAUAUUAGUCGAGUUUUAUUAUAUCUAGUUUUUUGACAAAUAAAUUAAAUUUAAUUAUCCAGAAAAAGAAAUUUGGGUAAAAUAUAACAGAAGGGAAAAGCUUUUUGUUAAAUUAUUUGUAAUAAUUAUUUAGAAUAAUUUGUAUUUUUUUUUUUACUAAUAAAAAUAUUUUAAAUAAAUUUAUCUAAUAUUUUACUUAUAAUCAAAAAAUAAAAUAUAACAAAAAAAUUUUAAAUAUAAUAGAUUUAUUAGUAUAAAAUAAGUGGAAAGUUAAUAUAAAUUUAAUAUGUAAAUAUUGUUUGUUUAAAAUAAAUUAUAAAGGAACUCAGCAAAAUUCUUGUUCGCCUGUUUAUCAAAAACAUGUCUUUUUGAUGAGAUAAAAAGUCUGGCCUGCUCACUGAUAAUAAAUUAAAGAGCUGCGGUAUAUUGACUGUACAAAGGUAGCAUAAUCAUUAGUUUUUUAAAUGAAAACUUGUAUGAAAGGUUUGACAAAACAAGUUCUGUCUCUAUUAUUUAAUUAAAAUUUAACUUUUAAGUGAAAAGGCUUAAAUAAAUCAAAGGGACGAUAAGACCCUAAAAGCUUUAUAUUUGUAUUUUAUUUUAAAAAAUUAAUUUAAUUAUAAAAUUAAAAUAACUUUAAUUAGUUGGGGCGACGUAUAAAUAAUUUUUAUAACUUUAUUUAUUUAAAACAUAAAUAUAUGAAAUUUGCUGAUCUUUAUUAAAAAUUUUAAGUAAAGUUACUUUAGGGAUAACAGCGUUAUUUUUUCUGAGAGUUCUUAUCGAAGAAAAAGAUUGCGACCUCGAUGUUGAAUUAAAAAUUCUGUUUGGUGCAGUAGCUAAAUAAGAAGGUCUGUUCGACCUUUAAAUUUUUACAUGAUCUGAGUUCAAACCGGCGUAAGCCAGGUCGGUUUCUAUCUUUUGUUUAUUAAAAAUUAAUUUAGUACGAAAGGAUUGAUUAAUUAAAAUUAUUUUUAUUAUUUA
RNAcentral lists this ribosomal RNA (1242 nucleotides) under Pyrhila pisum. RNAcentral's name for it is "16S ribosomal RNA". The stretch from base 1009 to 1167 matches the Rfam family "Archaeal large subunit ribosomal RNA", at positions 2542 to 2701 of the family's 2987-position model. The record is from RNAcentral. Lineage: Eukaryota; Metazoa; Arthropoda; Malacostraca; Decapoda; Leucosiidae.